UUAGAGUUUGAUCCUGGCUCAAGAUGAACUCUAGCUACACGCUUAACACAUGCAAGUCGAGGGGAAACGACAUCUAAAGCUUGCUUUUGAUGGGCGUCGACCGGCGCACGGGUGAGUAACGCGUAUCCCACCUGCCCACCACUUGGGAAUAACCUUGCGAAAGUAAGACUAAUACCCAAUGAUAUCUCUAGAAGACAUCUGAAAGAGAUUAAAGAUUUAUCGGUGAUGGAUGGGGAUGCGUCUGAUUAGCUUGUUGGCGGGGUAACGGCCCACCAAGGCAACGAUCAGUAGGGGUUCUGAGAGGAAGGUCCCCCACAUUGGAACUGAGACACGGUCCAAACUCCUACGGGAGGCAGCAGUGAGGAAUAUUGGUCAAUGGGCGAGAGCCUGAACCAGCCAAGUAGCGUGCAGGAAGACGGCCCUAUGGGUUGUAAACUGCUUUUAUAAGGGAAUAAAGUUAGUCUCGUGAGACUUUUUGCAUGUACCUUAUGAAUAAGGACCGGCUAAUUCCGUGCCAGCAGCCGCGGUAAUACGGAAGGUCCGGGCGUUAUCCGGAUUUAUUGGGUUUAAAGGGAGCGUAGGCCGGAGAUUAAGCGUGUUGUGAAAUGUAGACGCUCAACGUCUGCACUGCAGCGCGAACUGGUUUCCUUGAGUACGCACAAAGUGGGCGGAAUUCGUGGUGUAGCGGUGAAAUGCUUAGAUAUCACGAAGAACUCCGAUUGCGAAGGCAGCUCACUGGAGCGCAACUGACGCUGAAGCUCGAAAGUGCGGGUAUCGAACAGGAUUAGAUACCCUGGUAGUCCGCACGGU
Molecule: ribosomal RNA, 810 nt
Filed under: uncultured bacterium
Lineage: Bacteria
Description: bacterial SSU rRNA
Rfam family: Bacterial small subunit ribosomal RNA
Source: RNAcentral